UCCGAGUUGACCCCGGCAGUCUCGUGUGAGUCCCCAACUGAAUGCUGGCAACACACGACAAGGGUUGCGCUCGUUUACUGACUUAACAGUACACCUCACGGCACGAGCUGACGACAGCCAUGCACCACCUGUGAUCGUGCCCCGAAGGGAGGACGUGUUUCCACGCCCGUCACGAACAUGUCAAGCCCAGGUAAGGUUCUUGGCGUUGCGUCCAAUUAAACCACAUGCUCCGCUGCUUGUGCGGCCCCCCGUCAAUUCCUUUGAGUUUUAGCCUUGCGGCCGUACUCCCCAGGCGGAUCACUUAACGCGUUAGCUGUUUCACGGCAGGAGUCGAGCCCCACCACAAAUAGUGAUCAUCGUUUACGGCGUGGACUAC
Molecule: unclassified non-coding RNA, 376 nt
Filed under: uncultured Thermoleophilia bacterium
Lineage: Bacteria; Bacillati; Actinomycetota; Thermoleophilia
Description: contains 16S-23S intergenic spacer region
Source: RNAcentral